RNAcentral lists this transfer RNA (75 nucleotides) under Candidatus Woesearchaeota archaeon. RNAcentral describes it as "tRNA-Leu". It matches the Rfam family "tRNA". From Rfam's summary of the family: Transfer RNA (tRNA) molecules are approximately 80 nucleotides in length. Lineage: Archaea; Nanobdellati; Candidatus Woesearchaeota. The record is from RNAcentral.
GCGGGGGUGCCGGAGCGGUCAAACGGGCUAGGCUAAGGAGCAAUGCCUGCGAGGGUUCAAAUCCCUUCCCCCGCA